UCCUUAUAAAGAGUCGGGGGAGGAAUCUGGUCUUUUGAUCCCGCAGCAACCUCAUGUUAGAGAUGAAGGUGCUAAGUCCAGCAGACAAAUUGUCUGAAAGAUGAGGG
This is a regulatory RNA element of 107 nucleotides. It matches the Rfam family "SAM riboswitch aptamer (S box leader)". Rfam says of the family: The SAM riboswitch is found upstream of a number of genes which code for proteins involved in methionine or cysteine biosynthesis in Gram-positive bacteria. The SAM riboswitch acts at the level of transcription termination control. The record is from Rfam.